RNAcentral lists this non-coding RNA (30 nucleotides) under Methanocaldococcus jannaschii DSM 2661. The record is from RNAcentral. Lineage: Archaea; Methanobacteriati; Methanobacteriota; Methanococci; Methanococcales; Methanocaldococcaceae.
AUUAAAAUCAGACCGAUUUGGAAUGGAAAC